GUAGUAGCUGCGAUCCACAAAUUUUUGGCAGUUGUGGGGAAAAAAAUGGCAUUUUUGCGGUCAGUAGUCGCCGCAAGAACGACCGCUGUAGCAGCCGCAGUCGCAAUUCCAGCCGCCUUCGCCAUCUCUUCAGUCGCAUCGUCGUCUCCUUCGUCUUCCACUUCUUUCAAAAGGCUAUCCGAAACCCCAUCUUUCGGCUCGCUCUCGCUCAGAGCCGAAAAAUCGGGGCUUUUGAAAGCUGUAGCGAACUCGUCUCCCGUUUCUGUCGAAAUGGAUCCCGAAAAAUCGACGCAGAACGGCGCCAGAUUGCCAGAAUUACUGACUGAAUUUAUGGUGGAUAUGAAAUGUGAGGGCUGUGUUAAUUCAGUCAAGAAUAAGUUGGAGACUGUUGAUGGUGUUAAAAAAGUGGAUGUGGACUUAACCAAUCAAGUUGUAAGGGUUCUUGGAAUUUCACCUGUGAGGAUUUUGACUGAAGCCUUGGACCAGACUGGACGGAAGGCCAGAUUAAUUGGACAAGGUCUACCUGAUGAUUUUCUAGUAUCGGCUGCUGUUGCUGAAUUUAAAGGGCCAUCUAUAUACGGUGUUGUCCGCUUAGCCCAAGUUAACAUGGAACUGACUAGGAUAGAAGCCAACUUCAGCGGUUUGCCCCCUGGAAAGCACGGUUGGUCGAUCAAUCAAUUUGGUGAUCUCACAAAGGGUGCUACAAGCACUGGUAAUAUCUUUAAUCCCUUGAAGGAUGAAAACGAGCCACUGGGUGACCUGGGAACAUUAGAAGUUGAUGAAAAAGGCGAGGCGUUCUACUCUGGCGCAAAGGAGAAGCUAAGAGUGGUGGACAUCAUUGGACGAUCCAUAGCGGUGUAUAGAAGUGAAGAUAAAUCAGAUGAGGGUAUUGCAGCUGCGGUCGUUGCUAGGAGCGCAGGAGUUGGUGAGAACUACAAAAAGCUUUGCACUUGUGAUGGCACAACCAUCUGGGAAGCAACCGAUGCAGAUUUUGUUAGCAGCAAAAUUUAAGCUCAGUAUAGUGUAUGUAGUAUGUUUCAACAUGUUAUCAACAAUAUAGAUUUUUUGAACAUAUUUGAGCUAAAUUCACAUGUAAAAGGGUGUUUGCAUCUAUAUAUGCAAAAUCCUACAUAACAAUAAGAUAGUGAAUAUGGAUCAGUCUCUAUGGAAUAAAACAUCACAUGCUCCAAGCAAAUAGGCAUUGCUAGAGCUAGACAUGCUCCCUUGCUUUGCAGAUUUCUCUCUCUGCAUGACAUUGUUAUUGUAUAACGUGUCUGCAACAAGUCCGUUGAGCUGCUGAAAGAUUGAUGUAAGUCGGAAAAAAGACAGCGACCUUGUUAAACAAACGAGAACAAAAUGGUUUGUUGUCUUGUGUAUACUUUCAGACAUUCUAUUCUCUAGCCAUUCGGGCACUAAAGGUUCAUUCUUUUUGGGGCAUUACAACGAAAAUUUGGAAACA
This is an RNA transcript of Salvia hispanica, 1459 nucleotides long. It is a transcript of the gene named copper chaperone for superoxide dismutase, chloroplastic/cytosolic-like, with no coding region annotated. The record is from RefSeq and is a predicted model, not a curated record. Lineage: Eukaryota; Viridiplantae; Streptophyta; Magnoliopsida; Lamiales; Lamiaceae.